RNAcentral lists this transfer RNA (66 nucleotides) under Philaenus spumarius (meadow spittlebug). RNAcentral describes it as "tRNA-Glu". The record is from RNAcentral. Lineage: Eukaryota; Metazoa; Arthropoda; Insecta; Hemiptera; Aphrophoridae.
AUUUAAGAAGUUUAUAAACGUUUCUUUUUCAAGGAAAAAAAGAAGUAAUACUUACUUCCUUAAAUA